CCCUCUCAGGAGAAGCUGAAGGACUUUCCUGUGUGCGUGAGCACCAAGCCGGAGCCCGAGGACGAUGCAGAAGAGGGACUUGGGGGUCUUCCCAGCAACAUCAGCUCUGUCAGCUCCUUGCUGCUCUUCAACACCACCGAGAACCUGUAUGGCCAGAGGGCAGGGCCGAGGGGUGUGGGCGGGAGGCCCGGCCUGGCUUAGUGGGGACCCAGGGCAUCAGACACAGGUACAGCACAUAGGCCAGGAGCCAGGGGGUGACGGGUGGCUCGGCUCGGGAGGCCUGGGACCCCACAGUGCACGCUGUGCCCCUGAUGAUGUGGGAGAGGAACAUGGGCUCAGGACAGCGGGUGUCAGCUUGCCUGACCCCCAUGUCGCCUCUGUAGGUAGAAGAAGUAUGUCUUCCUGGACCCCCUGGCUGGUGCUGUAACAAAGACCCAUGUGAUGCUGGGGGCAGAGACAGAGGAGAAGCUGUUUGAUGCCCCCUUGUCCAUCAGCAAGAGAGAGCAGCUGGAACAGCAGGUCCCAGAGAACUACUUCUAUGUGCCAGACCUGGGCCAGGUGCCUGAGAUUGAUGUUCCAUCCUACCUGCCUGACCUGCCCGGCAUUGCCAACGACCUCAUGUACAUUGCCGACCUGGGCCCCGGCAUUGCCCCCUCUGCCCCUGGCACCAUUCCAGAACUGCCCACCUUCCACACUGAGGUAGCCGAGCCUCUCAAG
RNAcentral lists this long non-coding RNA (717 nucleotides) under Homo sapiens (human). RNAcentral's name for it is "non-protein coding lnc-OR4F29-11:6". The record is from RNAcentral. Lineage: Eukaryota; Metazoa; Chordata; Mammalia; Primates; Hominidae.